Molecule: transfer RNA, 59 nt
Filed under: Diphyllobothrium sp. 1 JH-2018
Lineage: Eukaryota; Metazoa; Platyhelminthes; Cestoda; Diphyllobothriidea; Diphyllobothriidae
Description: tRNA-Ser
Source: RNAcentral
GAAAGAAAUGGUUAGGUUACUGCUAAUAACUUAUUGUCAGUUUAGUCUGACUUCUUUCU